CUCUAACAGGGCGGGCAGGUUGAACAGUGCCAUUUCAGUCCCCGAAAAGCUUUCAAAUUUCCUUUGCAACCCUGCACCAAAAGUGCCGGUCAGUGCAGCCAGCCGGCAGACCUGAGACUGGUGAUACAGCAGUUUCACAGCGCUCUGCCAGAUUCAUCCCGCUCCAAACAUAUUCAUAGCAGUCUCAUGGAAGUCCCAGGACUGCUUUGGCAGCAAUUGUGCAGGAUAAAUAAAGCUCCCAUUGUUGCAGAUGACUGCUUUCAAUUGCACGGGAAUCCAGGACAGCAGGGACUUCUGGCUGAUAAAGGGAGGGUCGGGAGCAGGUCAGCCUCACAAAACGAAGCCCAUUUCUUCAAUGGCAUUUUUAAAGAUGAUAGCACCUCUUUAACUUCAUCUCUCGUUACGAUGACUAAUGUGGAGAGAAUGCCGGGAGGCUGCAGCAAGUCCGACAACCCUGUUGACCCUGAGGAGCACACAGUAAGGGAUCUCCUUUGCCUACUAAUCUAGACCUGGAGGAUGAAAUCCUUUGCUCAGGUGCAGCUUCCCAGAUUCCCCAGUGCUUUGUGUGGGCACAAGGGCCAAGAGGGACUGGAUUAGUUGACAGGAUAGAAACCUAAAUUUAGACGAGAUUCAGUUAAGUGGGUGUAGGAAAUGAAAGGAAUGAGUGGAAAAGGAAGGGCAAGAAUAAAAGCAAUAGGAACAGAUACAUAGCCUGUAUUCAUCAUGUCCCUGCUCAUGUUCUUUUUUCUUUGUUAUUUGUUUUAAGUAUCAGUAACCCUUGCCAGGGAUUUACCCAACUCUUCUGCAUGAGGAAUUUGCUGUCAGAACUGCAGUAGAUGGGAAUCACUUGUAGAGGGAUAUGGCUGUUGAGGAUGGGGUGUGCAGCACAGGAACAGAUUUAUUAAGAAAAUAAUAAAUUUAUGGAACAGCUGCAUAGGUAAGUGAUGGGGUAUCAGUGUUGGAGUAGAGGCUGAGUGAAAUGCCAGCAGCAAUGAUGUGGCCAGGUGGUUGUACAAAAGGUGGCCGUCCUUUCUGUCAAAGGACAGAGCUUUUGUGCCUUGUACUAGAGAAAGGUGAACUGCAGAAAGUUUUAGGAGGGAGUGACAAUGGGCCAGAAAUAUUCAGCAGA
Molecule: long non-coding RNA, 1129 nt
Filed under: Falco tinnunculus (common kestrel)
Lineage: Eukaryota; Metazoa; Chordata; Aves; Falconiformes; Falconidae
Description: lncRNA (ENSFTIG00000013664.1)
Source: RNAcentral